RNAcentral lists this ribosomal RNA (207 nucleotides) under uncultured bacterium. RNAcentral describes it as "partial 16S ribosomal RNA". It matches the Rfam family "Bacterial small subunit ribosomal RNA", at positions 568 to 774 of the family's 1533-position model. The record is from RNAcentral.
CGCGUAGGCGGUUUAGUCAGUCAGAUGUGAAAGCCCCGGGCUCAACCUGGGAACUGCAUUUGAUACUGCUAAGCUAGAGUAUGGUAGAGGCAAGUGGAAUUCCAGGUGUAGCGGUGAAAUGCGUAGAUAUCUGGAGGAACAUCAGUGGCGAAGGCGACUUGCUGGACUGAUACUGACGCUGAGGUGCGAAAGCGUGGGUAGCAAACA